RNAcentral lists this ribosomal RNA (620 nucleotides) under Kocuria rhizophila. RNAcentral's name for it is "bacterial SSU rRNA". It matches the Rfam family "Bacterial small subunit ribosomal RNA", at positions 9 to 636 of the family's 1533-position model. Lineage: Bacteria; Bacillati; Actinomycetota; Actinomycetes; Micrococcales; Micrococcaceae. The record is from RNAcentral.
GAGUUUGAUCAUGGCUCAGGACGAACGCUGGCGGCGUGCUUAACACAUGCAAGUCGAACGCUGAAGCUUGGUGCUUGCACUGGGUGGAUGAGUGGCGAACGGGUGAGUAAUACGUGAGUAACCUGCCCUUGACUCUGGGAUAAGCCUGGGAAACUGGGUCUAAUACUGGAUACGACGGCGCAUCGCAUGGUGUGUUGUGGAAAGGGUUUUACUGGUUUUGGAUGGGCUCACGGCCUAUCAGCUUGUUGGUGGGGUAAUGGCUCACCAAGGCGACGACGGGUAGCCGGCCUGAGAGGGUGACCGGCCACACUGGGACUGAGACACGGCCCAGACUCCUACGGGAGGCAGCAGUGGGGAAUAUUGCACAAUGGGCGGAAGCCUGAUGCAGCGACGCCGCGUGAGGGAUGACGGCCUUCGGGUUGUAAACCUCUUUCAGCACGGAAGAAGCGAGAGUGACGGUACGUGCAGAAGAAGCGCCGGCUAACUACGUGCCAGCAGCCGCGGUAAUACGUAGGGCGCAAGCGUUGUCCGGAAUUAUUGGGCGUAAAGAGCUCGUAGGCGGUUUGUCGCGUCUGCUGUGAAAGCCCGGGGCUUAACCCCGGGUGUGCAGUGGGUACGGG